AAUCGAAUCGGCGAUGACGUUCGCCACAAAAUUAUAAUUUAAUUGAUGACGUCUACCACAAG
Molecule: non-coding RNA, 62 nt
Filed under: Pediococcus claussenii
Lineage: Bacteria; Bacillati; Bacillota; Bacilli; Lactobacillales; Lactobacillaceae
Also listed under: 1 other name
Description: Fluoride sequence
Rfam family: Fluoride riboswitch aptamer (crcB RNA motif)
Source: RNAcentral